GACGAACGCUGGCGGCGUGCCUAAUACAUGCAAGUAGAACGCUGAAGGAGGAGCUUGCUCUUCUGGAUGAGUUGCGAACGGGUGAGUAACGCGUAGGUAACCUGCCUGGUAGCGGGGGAUAACUAUUGGAAACGAUAGCUAAUACCGCAUAACAGUAGAUGUUGCAUGACAUUUGCUUAAAAGGUGCAAUUGCACCACUACCAGAUGGACCUGCGUUGUAUUAGCUAGUUGGUGGGGUAACGGCUCACCAAGGCGACGAUACAUAGCCGACCUGAGAGGGUGAGCGGCCACACUGGGACUGAGAAACGGCCCAGACUCCUACGGGAGGCAGCAGUAGGGAAUCUUCGGAAAUGGACGGAAGUCUGACCGAGCAACGCCGCGUGAGUGAAGAAGGUUGUCGGAUCGUAAAGCUCUGUUGUAAGAGAAGAACGAGUGUGAGAGUGGAAAGUUCACACUGUGACGGUAUCUUAACAGAAAGGGACGGCUAACUACGUG
Molecule: ribosomal RNA, 495 nt
Filed under: uncultured bacterium
Lineage: Bacteria
Description: partial 16S ribosomal RNA
Rfam family: Bacterial small subunit ribosomal RNA
Source: RNAcentral